This is a long non-coding RNA of Sapajus apella (tufted capuchin), 190 nucleotides long. RefSeq lists it as uncharacterized. The record is from RefSeq and is a predicted model, not a curated record. NCBI's taxonomy places the organism in Eukaryota, Metazoa, Chordata, Mammalia, Primates, Cebidae. The transcript has 3 exons.
GGUAAAUGAAAACUAUGUCCACACAAAAACAUGUACAUGAAUGUUCACAGCAGCAUUAUGCAGAAUAGCCAAAAAGUAGAAUAACCCAAAUGCCCAUCAACUGAUAAAUGGAUAAAUACAAUGCAGUAUAUCUGUAGAAUGGAAUAUUACCCAGUAAUAAAAAUGAAGUGAUGCUACAUGCAAUGGCAUG